UAUUUUAUACUUAUUUUUAUUAAAAUCUUUUUUUAACAAGCAAAAAAUUAUUUCUUGAAUUAAUUAAAAAGGUAACAAAACGUUUGAAAUCCCUACAAUCGGGAAAAAGUUGAAAUACAAAGUUGAAAAAAAUCUCAUUUCAGAAAAAAAUAACAAAGAGAAGAAAAAAAAUAAAAGCUUUGAUAUUGGCAUAGGAAAACGAGGACUACGUAGAGAAGAGAGUGAAAAUGUCUUGGCUCCAUGAUACAGGCGAAGAAGCCCCUGUCAAUGGCAGGAGGCAGAAAGUGAAUUUUUGUUGAUGAAGAAAAUGAUGGUGGCUGUUUUUUUGGCUAAAGUGUUGCCGCAUGUAUCAUUUAGAAAGUGGAUUUUUGUUGAUGAAGAAAAUGAUGGUGGUUGUUUUUGGUUGAAGUGUUGCCGCAUGUAUCAUUUAGAAAGUGGAUAGCUGCUUGUGUAACUUGAAUGGUAUUUCAAUGAUAGUGUUUGUAUUGUAGCUGAUUUUUGAUGUGUUCAUUUCAAUUGAAGUCAACAAGUUGUAUCAUUGAGUUUGUCAUGAAAGUAAAAUAAUUGCUAGA
Humulus lupulus (European hop) is the source of this 572-nucleotide long non-coding RNA. RefSeq lists it as uncharacterized. The transcript is spliced from 2 exons. NCBI's taxonomy places the organism in Eukaryota, Viridiplantae, Streptophyta, Magnoliopsida, Rosales, Cannabaceae. The record is from RefSeq and is a predicted model, not a curated record.